AAUGAGUAUAUUACCUACAUAAUAAGCAGCUAAGAUUCCAUUAGUAUAUUUUAUCUCAUCUUAAAAGAAUGGUCACAAUCCUUAGACUAAUAAUGUCUUUGUA
This is a long non-coding RNA of Ipomoea nil (Japanese morning glory), 103 nucleotides long. RefSeq lists it as uncharacterized. The transcript is spliced from 3 exons. NCBI's taxonomy places the organism in Eukaryota, Viridiplantae, Streptophyta, Magnoliopsida, Solanales, Convolvulaceae. The record is from RefSeq and is a predicted model, not a curated record.